This is a small nuclear RNA of Solanum stenotomum, 193 nucleotides long. RefSeq annotates it as U2 spliceosomal RNA. The transcript has a single exon. The record is from RefSeq and is a predicted model, not a curated record. Lineage: Eukaryota; Viridiplantae; Streptophyta; Magnoliopsida; Solanales; Solanaceae.
GUAGUGUUGUUUUUUCUAAAAAACAAUGAGGUACAAUAUCUGCUCUUAUCAAUAUAAAACAUCUGAUAUGUGGGCCAUUGGUCCACAUGAUAUUAACAUUUUUUUCAGGGGGGGAGACUCACUUAGGUAGUUUGCUGCUACCUGGGCCUUCACGCACUGCCUAGGCGUUGCACUACAAGUCAGCCCCCCCUCC